UUGACCUCGGAUCAGGUAGGGAUACCCGCCGAGGUAAGCAUAUCAAUAAGCGGAGGA
RNAcentral lists this ribosomal RNA (57 nucleotides) under uncultured fungus. Its description in RNAcentral is "partial 28S ribosomal RNA". The record is from RNAcentral. Lineage: Eukaryota; Fungi.